GAUGAAGAACGUAGUGAAAUGCGAUAAGUAGUGUGAAUUGCAGAAUUUCCGUGAGUCAUCGAAUCUUUGAACGCACAUUGCGCCCACUGGUAUUCCGGUGGGCAUGCCUGUUCGAGCGUCAUUAUCCUCCCUCAAACCCCGGGUUUGGUGUUGGACCCAAGUUGUGUGAACAACUGGUCUCAAAGACAAUGACGGCGUCCGUGGGACCCUCGGUGCAACGAGCUUUUAGGAGCACGCGCCGAGUUGCAAGGACCUUCCGGGCCGGUCUCCUUUACUAUUUUACAAGGUUGACCUCGGAUCAGGUAGGAAUACCCGCUGAACUUAAGCAUAUCAAUAAGCGGAGGA
RNAcentral lists this unclassified non-coding RNA (345 nucleotides) under soil metagenome. RNAcentral's name for it is "partial contains 5.8S ribosomal RNA, internal transcribed spacer 2, and large subunit ribosomal RNA". The stretch from base 1 to 121 matches the Rfam family "5.8S ribosomal RNA", at positions 35 to 154 of the family's 154-position model. The record is from RNAcentral.